Molecule: ribosomal RNA, 271 nt
Filed under: uncultured prokaryote
Description: partial 16S ribosomal RNA
Rfam family: Bacterial small subunit ribosomal RNA
Source: RNAcentral
GACGAACCGUCCAAACGUUAUUCGGAAUUACUGGGCUUAAAGGGUGCGUAGGCGGCUCUGCAAGUUGGGUGUGAAAUCCCUCGGCUCAACCGAGGAAUGGCGCCCAAAACUGUGGAGCUCGAGGGAGACAGAGGUGAGUGGAACUUGUGGUGGAGCGGUGAAAUGCAUAGAUAUCACGAGGAACUCCGAUUGCGCAGGCAGCUUACUAAACUACUACUGACGCUCAGGCACGAAGGCGUGGGGAUCAAACAGGAUUAGAUACCCCCGUAGU